UGGGGGAUAUUGCACAAUGGGCGAAAGCCUGAUGCAGCGACGCCGCGUGGGGGAUGAAGGCCUUCGGGUUGUAAACUUCUUUUGCUCUGAACAAGGCAUGCUAAUGGGUGUGUUGAGUGUAGGGGUUGAUUAGCGCCGGCUAACUACGUGCCAGCAGCCGCGGUAAUACGUAGGGCGCGAGCGUUGUCCGGAAUUAUUGGGCGUAAAGGGCUUGUAGGUGGCUGGUUGCGUCUGUCGUGAAAGCUCAUGGCUUAACUGUGGGUUUGCGGUGGGUACGGCCUGGCUUGAGUGCAGUAGGGGAGGCUGGAAUUCCUGGUGUAGCGGUGGAAUGCGCAGAUAUCAGGAGGAAUACCGGUGGCGAAGGCGGGUCUCUGGGCUGUUACUGACACUGAGGAGCGAAAGCAUGGGGAGCGAACAGG
RNAcentral lists this ribosomal RNA (419 nucleotides) under bacterium. RNAcentral describes it as "partial 16S ribosomal RNA". It matches the Rfam family "Bacterial small subunit ribosomal RNA", at positions 355 to 776 of the family's 1533-position model. The record is from RNAcentral.